UUUGGGUAUUGAAUGAUGAUGUGG
RNAcentral lists this non-coding RNA (24 nucleotides) under Arabidopsis thaliana (thale cress). The record is from RNAcentral. Lineage: Eukaryota; Viridiplantae; Streptophyta; Magnoliopsida; Brassicales; Brassicaceae.